RNAcentral lists this ribosomal RNA (256 nucleotides) under uncultured bacterium. RNAcentral's name for it is "partial 16S ribosomal RNA". It matches the Rfam family "Bacterial small subunit ribosomal RNA", at positions 524 to 776 of the family's 1533-position model. The record is from RNAcentral.
UACGGAGGGUGCGAGCGUUGUCCGGAAUCAUUGGGCGUAAAGGGCGCGUAGGUGGCCACUUCAAGCGUGCGGUGAAAGUCGGGGGCUCAACCCCUGAUCGGCCGUGCGAACUGGGGGGCUGGAGCACUGUAGAGGCAGGCGGAAUUCCGGGUGUAGCGGUGGAAUGCGUAGAGAUCCGGAAGAACACCGGUGGCGAAGGCGGCCCGCUGGGCAGUUUUGCUGACACUGAGGCGCGACAGCGUGGGGAGCAAACAGG